Molecule: non-coding RNA, 5899 nt
Organism: Chiloscyllium plagiosum (whitespotted bambooshark)
Lineage: Eukaryota; Metazoa; Chordata; Chondrichthyes; Orectolobiformes; Hemiscylliidae
Source: RefSeq, a predicted model, not a curated record
CUAAAAAAAGCUGCAGAAGGUAAAAGCAUGCAUCUCUUGCUCCAUUAUUUGUGAUGUUCCAUGCUCCUCGAGGCAGAGCUAGAUUACAGAAAUGGGAAAUCGAACCACUGGUCAGUACCUCUCCGCGAAUGAAGAUGUGAGGCACCCAGAAUACAGCCCAAAGAUGAAAAAGUGAACAAAACAAAAAUGUUGUAAGAUGAUAAGAUCACAGCAACAGAUAGCAGACCUCAUUGUUCUGAUGGAAUCACUAGCAGUAUGAUGCACCAUGAAACAUGAGCUAUGUCACUCCUUUUUGUAGUGAUCUUUAUGGAUGGUCACAGGGUUGUUGGUCCUGCGGAGGCUCUUGUGACUUGAGUAAAAUUAAGGAAUGGCAAGAAAAUACUCAGGAAGGAGCUGGCAAUCCCACUUGGGACAAAUGUUAUGAUGCAUUGUUUCGUUAAACGGUUAGAGAUUGCUAAGCGUCAUCAACCUACCAAAUCUGUACCUAACAAAGAUGCUGGUGCACAUAAGGAGGCACCUUCCAGUGCCUUGAUGGGACUAUAUCCCCAGCUUGAAUCUCAGGAGGAUACAGUUAUGGAGAACAUCUUCUUGGCAGCAGCUGUGGGAGAUCAGCAGCCCCAACCUCUUCAACUGAGAGUCUGAAACCUGAAUACAGGCUGAGCUAGGACAUGGAGGCUCAUGACCUCUGCCUACGUGAAUAGUUGCAGCUAGGAGCAACCACCUGACUGAUGCUCUUGGUAACUUAGACAGCAACAAGGUGGCUUCUCAACGCAAGUUACCAAGACAAAAUGGCUUCUAGGCUGCUAACUGAUAAUUCUGCUAGAGCUGCAUAAUGGCUUCUAGGCUGCUAAAUGCUAAUUCUGCUAGAUAGCUAUAAAUAACUAACCACACACUGUUGCAAAAAGAGAUUAGCAGACAAUGCGCCCUUUAGAAUACAGAAGUAAUUCGACAAGACAAGGGAGUAAUAACCAUUCUGACUGAUCUUCAGGUGCAGAUGUAACGGUUCUGUAUUGAGAGAUAAAAGUGACCUAAGCAUUGGGACAUAAGUUGUUUCCUAGUUAGUAUCAUUGGACCAAGUAACUGCCAAUGAAGCAAUAUCAAGUAUUGAUUGAUAAUUGUUUGAAUGUACUAUGCAAUCACACCCUAUACCCUGCUUUAAGAAAAGUAUAAAAAUGUCUUUGUAUUAAGCUGUUGUGUGCAGCUCGUCCGAGGAAUACUGAAGUACUCAACUUUUGGGUUUCUGUACGCUCUUCUCUCGACCGUAUGAAGAAAUAAAGAGUGAAGACUUAAAACAGCCAAAUCGAUUUUGAGUGCUCAUUGACUGAUGGCGGAAUCGAGAGACCCCGAGGGGGGGUCAAGAUCUUCAUCUGGUGCUGUGACUCGGAUUCAGUAUGGAUAGAUUUUGGACAGCAACGUAAGAGCCUUGAGUCCUCUGCUAUUGAGUGUAGAGGAAUCGGCUGGCCAGACGGGGACACCUCUGACUCUGAGAAGGUGCUGUGGUCCAAGGCCGGCUGUUAUUGUAAUCCUGUUACUAAAUUCUGGACCACUCCAGUUGGUCAAAUUGAUAUUCGAAUCCCUGAUCCAGGACAACCGCCAUGAUGAAGAUUAAACUUACCCUGCUAUGUGGACUCAUCAUUAUCAUCAUUAAUGCUCAAGAAGGGACUAUUUAUCAGUGUGAUUCGGAGAAACCAGAGACUAUGUACCAUUUAUGCCAAAAAGACCUCCUUGUGUGACAACAGAUUGAUUCCUUCGAUGCAUGGAACAUUACCAAGAAUGACUAUCGUAAUGGUCAACUGUAUCAAGAUCUGACAGUUUGUUUACAGGACAGGUCUCAAAGGUCUUUACCCUAUCAAGGUGUUCCAUGUCAGUUUGGUUUCAGUUGCAUCAUGGGUGGCCCUGGUAAGUCUUGCCCCUACCCAAACAGGUCUAAAUCUGCACGCCGCAAAAGGAAAAGGGGGGAAUGCCGUGUUUCACUAAUAACUUGUUUUUUCAAACUCUCAGUAAAAUAGUCGGCUGGGAUGAAGUGGUCUGUUACGCCCUCACAUCAGCAAAGGACUCCUUGACCCCUUUCCCUCUCCCAAAUUCCAACGACGGAGUAUGGAACACUUCUAAGGCAUUUACCGGACAUAAUGUUUCCUUUGACUAUUACUUAUCCCCACCUGCUAGUUGCUUAUGGACUUCCUCUAAUAAGUCUGGAGUAGCCUAUCCAAAUUGUUACAACGGUAUGGGAUGGGGAUGUGCUUAGUAAAUGUGACUAAGACUAUUCCAUAUGCCUUGGUCAAAUGUACCAACCGCUACUGCUCCGCUGUGGGGCCUUGCAUCUCAUGCGUAUGCCAAUGGGAGGUGAGUGUCCCCAUUAUUACCAGUAUUCAGGCUCUUUGUGGUAUGGGUAACAGCACCCACCUUCCCUGUGAGACCCCUAACAGCACCUCCAUCGUCCCAACUGUGGGAUGGAAGGAACCAGUUUGGGACGAUAACCGCAUUUCUUACAAAAAGACCCAUCUCUUUUUAUUGAAUAGAUUUCACUCUAAGUGCCCAAGGCGACCAUACUUUGUAGCCACGGACUACCUGUUCAUUCGGGUAGUUAUAAAGAUAGGCCUGCUUCUCAUUGGCAUGCCCCCUCCAUUAUUUAUAUUAAACCCGGUUAUUAUCUUUUCAGCCAAGGAAAAAUGACUAUCUUCCUUGUUCUGGAUGAAACAGGUACUCCCCGUACUGUAGCUGGAGGGACACGUUUCCCGACUACUGUUCCCUGUCCAUCUACCUGGGAAUGGGGCUGGGGUUUCUCUACCAAAUGUUCAAUUUCACGCGAAGUCUGCACGCAUUGGAAGGAGGUUAAGGCUUUGGGCAACAGUAAAACCCAUUCUUGGGCCCACUCAUUUCUUAGUGGUUUUUCCAUAGGUGGAUCUGCAGGAAUUAUUAGCCACCAAAACCAAAAUUAUCUUAUUUACAGUAUCAUCCUCUGGGGCAACGAGACGGCCUCGGCCUUGGCAAGAGUUAAAGACAUACUCACAGAAUUAUGUCUAUUUUCCCAGUCAAAUAUGUAUGCCCACAACUACCUACUGGCCAAACAGGGUGGGGUUUGUGCCAUAGUGAAGGGUAAGUGUAUGAUGGGUGUUAUCAACCUCAUCGAGAAUAUUACCAAACAUGUACAUAACAGCCGUAUCUUCGUCAAUAAAAUGAUGGAAGGCACUCGAUGGGGAGAUUGAUCAACCAGUUGUGCCAUGAGCCAAAAUCUCAAUCGGACAAUGUAUAUUGGUAUUAUUUUACUUUGUCUCUUUGCUAACAUUGCUAUCGUUAAAUGUAUUAUUGCUAAGCUAUUGAACUCUGUUGGCAACAUUGGUUCCCCUCAGAAAAUGCUGAUGGUGCCCCCAAUGCGGAUGAGAAGAAGCAGCUGCCCAUCCCUAUCUCCUCCCUGGAAGAGAAGAAGAAUGGCAGGCUCUGGCGUCCAUCUGAUUAGACUGAUCUGAUCUAUGUCCUCCCACCCAAUGGUGUCGUCAUAGAAUGACCAAAGGGUGGAGAUGAAAGUCUGAAACCUGAAUACAGGCUGAGCUAGGACAUGGAGGCUCAUGACCUGCACCUAUGUGACUAGUUGCAGUUAGGAGCAACCACCUGAUGGAUGCACUUGGUAAUUUAGAGGGCAACAAGAUGACUUCUUGAUGCAAGUUAGCACAACAAAAUGGCUUCUAGGUUGAUAACUGCUAAUUCUGCUAGAGUUGCAUAAAUAACUAACUACAGGAUGUUGCAAAAUGAAAUUAGCAGACAAUGCACCCUUUAGAAUACAGAAGUAACUCGACAAGAUAAGGGAGUACUAACUGUUCUGACUGACCUUCGGGUGCAGAUGUAGCGGCUCUGUGUUAUGAGAUAAAAGUGACCUAAGCAUUGGGACAUACGUUGUUUCCCAGUUAAUAUCACUGGACCAAGUAACUGCCAAUGAAGCAAUAUCAUAUACUGAUUGGUAAUUGUUUGAAUGUAUUAUGAAAUCACACCCUGCUUUAAGAAAAGUAUAAAAAUGUCUUUGUAUUAAGCUGUUGUGUGCAGCUCCUCUGGGGAAUACAGAAGUGUUUCCGGAUGCUCUUCACCUGGCUGUAUGAAGAAAUGAAGAGUGAAGUCUUAAACAGCCAGAUCGAUUGUGAGCGCUCAUUGACCGAUCACUGAACUGAGAAACCUUCCCGGGGUUCAAAAACUUCACAACCUCCACAAUACCAGGAUGUCGUCCAAUCUACCAGCCUGCCUACAGCCCCAACUGAUUCUACCCAACCUCUUACCCUACUCAAAGUUGCAUAUGGCACCUGCUGGGUGACUGUUAAAGAUCCUUUUUCAGUCCCAGCUGGGGAAAAUGGGGAUUAGAUAGAGGAACUCAUAGAGGAGAAGCAGGGUCAGGGAAAUAUCCCCCAGGAUGAGUCGGUCCAGAACCAAGCUAUGCAGGCCAUCUCAAAUGGGGCCAGGCAGCAUAGCGACUUUGGGGAGGUCACUUGAUGCCUUCAAAAGAAAGAGUUGAUUUUGUUGCCUCCCUCACUAAUAUGGACUGACAAGCUCUAUUCAAUAAGAGGUCUGAGGGUCCUAAGGGCCAGUUUGUCCAAUAUCACCAAUCAUCUAAUGAAAGGCCACAGAUAUUACCCACCUCAGUUAGAUGGGGGGGGGCAGCGGCUGGUUUGGUCCAAGAAUAAUGACAUCUGCCAUUGGUGUGGUCAGAAGGGUCAUUGGGCUACAGAUUGUCAGAUGCCAUUGGCUGCUCCUCCUGCAACUGCAAGAAUUCAGUGUUCUGUACAUGCCCCAAUGUUUACACUCACAGACACCUCCCACACUACACAAUAAGCGGUGACAUGAUGGAUUAUUGGUACAGAAUGCCUUGAUCCAGCUAUCUGCUUCUCUCCUCGAAGACCCAAUGACAGAAAUUGAUGUUCUGCGGAAAUAUGUUAAGGUUUAGUCGACUCCAGCACAAAUAUUUCGUCUGUACCUCCCCUCUGUGGAACUUCUGAUAGGCACUUAAACUGUCUCCAUCGUCAGCACAGCAGGAAUUCCCAUGGUGGAAUCACUCUCCCAACCUGUUCCCAUUCAGAUAGGUCAGCUCCACAUGGAGGAAUCAUUCGUUAUUAUCAAGAAUUCAGCUGCUUCCCUGUUGGGUUGCUGAGCCCUGUAUAAACGCAGUGCUUUGAUUCACUAUUCUGAUCAGAGGCUGUACUUGGAUCUCCCCGAUGACUCUGUGGUGCAGGCCUAAAUUUGCUGAUGCAGUGCUCUGACCCUGCGACACAAGCUGUAUUGUAAUGCUGGCAACUACAGAAUAACCCUGUUGUUUUGCAUCUUUUGCACCAAAUGAUAGCUGAUCUAGAAUGAAGCACCGAUCCCUGUUUAAGCUUUCUUCAUCAUCUACUCCUUACAUUCCGCUCUCCUAAAACCAUCUAUUUCACGGCCCUUUUUACCCACCAUCUAGUCCCUGACUUAUUUGCAAGCCUCACGAUCCCUUGACUAGUUUAGUCAGGUUCAUUGCAGUUCAAUGGGAGAAUUUAUUUCAAUCCCAUGGCCUAGGUGCCUCCGUUCAGCUUGAUACUGUACAAUCACCUUUGUUCGCGAUGGGUCCCACCUCAGUGCAGCACGUCACUGUCUCUGUUAAGUCUCCGCAUCGGCCUAAAGAAAUUGGUCCUAUGAUCCAUUCCUUGUGCUGCAGAGAAUCUCUAAGGGAGACCCAUUGUGGGAACUUUUGGAUUACUGUAUUCUCUGAUGAGGUUGGUUGCAUUGGCUCCCAUCUACCUAAUGGCUGGUAAUUUUUCUCUGGUAUCAGCCAGCCUCGCUCCAUGACUAUAUGCCCCCACUGCUCCUAGCAUCUGUCCCCUCUUCCCUGUGGGCACUCCAUAAAAAACCAUGUGGGGUUGGUGUUUUCUGCUCUGCUGCACCAUGUUAC